RNAcentral lists this ribosomal RNA (348 nucleotides) under Aliarcobacter butzleri. RNAcentral's name for it is "bacterial SSU rRNA". It matches the Rfam family "Bacterial small subunit ribosomal RNA", at positions 1014 to 1363 of the family's 1533-position model. The record is from RNAcentral. Lineage: Bacteria; Pseudomonadati; Campylobacterota; Epsilonproteobacteria; Campylobacterales; Arcobacteraceae.
UCUGCUUGCAGAACUUGCAUACAGGUGCUGCACGGCUGUCGUCAGCUCGUGUCGUGAGAUGUUGGGUUAAGUCCCGCAACGAGCGCAACCCUCGUCCUUAGUUGCUAACAGUUCGGCUGAGAACUCUAAGGAGACUGCCUACGCAAGUAGGAGGAAGGUGAGGAUGACGUCAAGUCAUCAUGGCCCUUACGUCCAGGGCUACACACGUGCUACAAUGGGGUAUACAAAGAGCAGCAAUACGGUGACGUGGAGCAAAUCUCAAAAAUGCCUCCCAGUUCGGAUUGUAGUCUGCAACUCGACUACAUGAAGUUGGAAUCGCUAGUAAUCGUAGAUCAGCUAUGCUACGGG